Molecule: ribosomal RNA, 435 nt
Filed under: uncultured Oscillospiraceae bacterium
Lineage: Bacteria; Bacillati; Bacillota; Clostridia; Eubacteriales; Oscillospiraceae
Description: partial 16S ribosomal RNA
Rfam family: Bacterial small subunit ribosomal RNA
Source: RNAcentral
ACGGGAGGCAGCAGUGGGGAAUAUUGGGCAAUGGGCGAAAGCCUGACCCAGCGACGCCGCGUGAGGGAAGACGGUCUUCGGAUUGUAAACCUCUUUUAUGUGGGACGAAGUAUGACGGUACCACAUGAAUAAGCCACGGCUAACUACGUGCCAGCAGCCGCGGUAAUACGUAGGUGGCGAGCGUUAUCCGGAUUUACUGGGUGUAAAGGGCGCGUAGGCGGGAAGGCAAGUCAGGUGUGAAAUCUAUGGGCUUAACCCAUAAACUGCAUUUGAAACUGUCUUUCUUGAGUGCUGGAGAGGUAGACGGAAUUCCAUGUGUAGCGGUGAAAUGCGUAGAUAUAAGGAAGAACACCAGUGGCGAAGGCGGUCUACUGGACAGUAACUGACGCUGAGGCGCGAAAGCGUGGGGAGCAAACAGGAUUAGAUACCCUGGUA